GACGAACGCUGGCGGCGUGGAUUAGGCAUGCAAGUCGAACGGUAUCAUCCUUUCGGGGGUGAGAGAGUGGCGAACUGGUGAGUAACACGUAGGUUAUCUACCCUCAAGACGGGGACAACCCAGGGAAACUUGGGCUAAUACCGGAUGUGAGCAACUUUUAGUUGUUUGAAAGGUGGCGUAAGCUGUCGCUUGGGGAUGAGCCUGCGUCCUAUUAGUUAGUUGGUGAGGUAACGGCUCACCUAGGCAAUGAUAGGUAGGCGGCCUUAACGGGUGGUCGCCCACACUGGGAUUGAGAUACGGCCCAGACUCCUACGGGAGGCAGCAGUCGAGAAUAGUCUACAAUGGUCGGAAGACUGAUAGUGCGACGCCGCGUGAACGAUGAAUCCCUUCGGGGUUAAAGUUCUUUUAUAUGUGAGCAGUGCUUCUUAUAUUAACAGUUAUGGGGGAAGAGAUAUUAGCAUAUGAAUAAGCAACGGCUAACUCCGUGCCAGCAGCCGGGUAAAA
Molecule: ribosomal RNA, 504 nt
Filed under: uncultured bacterium
Lineage: Bacteria
Description: bacterial SSU rRNA
Rfam family: Bacterial small subunit ribosomal RNA
Source: RNAcentral